This 255-nucleotide ribosomal RNA is filed under the name uncultured bacterium. RNAcentral's name for it is "partial 16S ribosomal RNA". It matches the Rfam family "Bacterial small subunit ribosomal RNA", at positions 221 to 494 of the family's 1533-position model. The record is from RNAcentral.
UAGGAUGGACCCGCGUCUGAUUAGCUGGUUGGUAGGGUAAUGGCUUACCAAGGCGACGAUCAGUAGCCGACCUGAGAGGGUGAUCGGCCACAUUGGAACUGAGACACGGUCCAAACUCCUACGGGAGGCAGCAGUGGGGAAUAUUGCACAAUGGGCGAAAGCCUGAUGCAGCAACGCCGCGUGAGCGAUGAAGGCCUUCGGGUCGUAAAGCUCUGUCCUCAAGGAAGAUAAUGACGGUACUGAGGAGGAAGCCCC